GACGAACGCUGGCUGCGUGCUUAACACAUGCAAGUCGAACGGAAAGGCCCUGCUUUUGUGGGGUGCUCGAGUGGCGAACGGGUGAGUAACACGUGAGUAACCUGCCCUUGACUUUGGGAUAACUUCAGGAAACUGGGGCUAAUACCGGAUAGGAGCUCCUGCUGCAUGGUGGGGGUUGGAAAGUUUCGGCGGUUGGGGAUGGACUCGCGGCUUAUCAGCUUGUUGGUGGGGUAGUGGCUUACCAAGGCUUUGACGGGUAGCCGGCCUGAGAGGGUGACCGGCCACAUUGGGACUGAGAUACGGCCCAGACUCCUACGGGAGGCAGCAGUGGGGAAUAUUGCACAAUGGGCGGAAGCCUGAUGCAGCAACGCCGCGUGCGGGAUGACGGCCUUCGGGUUGUAAACCGCUUUCGCCUGUGACGAAGCGUGAGUGACGGUAAUGGGUAAAGAAGCACCGGCUAACUACGU
Molecule: ribosomal RNA, 467 nt
Filed under: uncultured bacterium
Lineage: Bacteria
Description: partial 16S ribosomal RNA
Rfam family: Bacterial small subunit ribosomal RNA
Source: RNAcentral